This 463-nucleotide ribosomal RNA is filed under the name uncultured bacterium. Its description in RNAcentral is "bacterial SSU rRNA". It matches the Rfam family "Bacterial small subunit ribosomal RNA", at positions 359 to 839 of the family's 1533-position model. The record is from RNAcentral.
GAAUAUUGCACAAUGGGCGAAAGCCUGAUGCAGCGACGCCGCGUGGAGGAUGAAGGCUUUCGGGUCGUAAACUCCUGUCUGGGGGGAUGAAUACUGACAGUACCCCCGGAGGAAGCCCCGGCUAACUACGUGCCAGCAGCCGCGGUAAUACGUAGGGGGCGAGCGUUGUCCGGAAUUACUGGGCGUAAAGCGCGCGCAGGUGGCUUGUUAAGUCAGGUGUCAAAAUGCGGGGCUCAACCCCGUACCGCACUUGAAACUGGCAGGCUUGAGUGCAGGAGAGGAAAGUGGAAUUCCUAGUGUAGCGGUGAAAUGCGUAGAUAUUAGGAGGAACACCAGUGGCGAAGGCGACUUUCUGGACUGUAACUGACGCUGAGGCGCGAAAGCUAGGGGAGCAAACAGGAUUAGAUACCCUGGUAGUCCUAGCCGUAAACGAUGGGUACUAGGUGUUGGGGGUGACAAUCCU